GGUAAUUGAUGUAUUAUUUUCCUAACAGUCUUUUAUAGGAUAUUGAUUGACAGAUUAGGAUCUUUGAUCUAGAAGGUUUUUAGAGCAUCUUCCAGCUAUGGCCAAGCCUAUCAAAUCAAUAUUUGGAUCUUAGAACCAUUGGCCUCACUUGUAACGUGCAUCAAGACACUUCGACCAUUUACACUAGCAGCAGAGAUUUCGAUGACUUGUAUGUGCAAAGUGACUAGAUGGAGUGAAGAAUGGUGGAACAGUGACUGGAUGGUAAUGAGAUGUUUGGUUGACAUUUUCUAAUUGUAACUUGAGGAUUUAUGUGGGUUUUUUUUUUUCAUUUUAGACUUUUUAGUAUGGUAUGAUAUGCUCAUAUCACUAUAUGUUAUGUACUUCAAUCUGUAGAAACAGUUCAUUGAAUGUUUGAUUUAUUUCACUCUAUGCAUUUUCUGCUUGUAAUAUGUUAGUUGAAAAGUAAAAUAGGAAGCAAUUUCUUUACAAUGUAGGCCUAGGAGGGCUUCCAUCAUACUCUACAUAACUGGAGUUUCAACAGUGAGUUCAAAUUUAUUUUGCACAA
Magnolia sinica is the source of this 565-nucleotide long non-coding RNA. RefSeq lists it as uncharacterized. The record is from RefSeq and is a predicted model, not a curated record. NCBI's taxonomy places the organism in Eukaryota, Viridiplantae, Streptophyta, Magnoliopsida, Magnoliales, Magnoliaceae. The transcript has 2 exons.